Mesocricetus auratus (golden hamster) is the source of this 576-nucleotide long non-coding RNA. RefSeq lists it as uncharacterized. The record is from RefSeq and is a predicted model, not a curated record. NCBI's taxonomy places the organism in Eukaryota, Metazoa, Chordata, Mammalia, Rodentia, Cricetidae. The transcript is spliced from 3 exons.
UAUGUAUAUGUGACAGAUGUGUAUGUGGGGGCAGUUGUGUACAUAGAGACCAGAGGAGGACACUUGCUAAAGCAAGGUUGGCAGUCAAUGAGCCCCAGUGGAUUUUCUGCCUCAGCCCCCUACAGAACUGGGAUUACAGAUGUGCCUGUGGCUGUGUCUGAAAUUUCACAUAGAGGAGUAGUCUCCUGUUCAAGGCUGGCCUUGAGCUCAUUAUGUCACCAAGGAUGACUUGAACUUCGGAUCCUCCUGCUGCCACCUCUCCUGUACUAGGAUUACAGCAUGCAAAUUUUCUCGUGGGAGCAAUUUCUUUGAAGUCACCCUUCACCAUCUUAAAGUAAAUACCAACAAGACUCCAAGAUUAUAGAUCCAGAAAUUACAGAAACACAGCUCAGAUCAACAAAGCUGUUACGGAAAGCAUUCUUCACCGAAGGGCAAGAGCUUUCCUUACAAGCUGGGGGCCGAAGCAUCAUUUAUAGCCUAACUCACUUGCGAGUUGCUGGGAAAUCCUGCAAGUAUAACCUCAAUUCUCCUUUGCCUUGACCUCUGCCAGUGCUUCAGACUGUAUUUGCUCAUAAA